AUUGAACGCUGGCGGCAGGCCUAACACAUGCAAGUCGAGCGAGCGGCGGACGGGUGAGUAAUUUCUGGGAAACUGCCUGAUGGGGGGGGAUAACUACUGGAAACGGUAGCUAAUACCGCAUACCAUCAGAUGUGCCCAGAUGGGAUUAGCUAGUAGGUGGGGUAACGGCUCACCUAGGCGACGAUCCCUAGCUGGGCUGAGAGGAUGACCAGCCACACUGCAACGGAGACACGCUCCAGACCCCUACGUGAGGCAGCAGUGGGGAAUAUUGUACAGUGGGCUGAAGCCUAAUGCAGCCAUGCCGCGUGUGUGAAGAAAGCCUUCGGGUUGUAAAGCAAUUUGAGCGUGAAGGCGUUACCCUCCGAAGAAGCACCGGCUAACUCCGUGCCAGCAGCCGCGGUAAUAC
This 406-nucleotide ribosomal RNA is filed under the name uncultured bacterium. RNAcentral describes it as "partial 16S ribosomal RNA". It matches the Rfam family "Bacterial small subunit ribosomal RNA", at positions 30 to 526 of the family's 1533-position model. The record is from RNAcentral.